UCAGACUUCAGGGAGGUCCUCCAUUAGGGAGCAGGCGGUAUCCCUCCAGAAGGUACGUGGACGUCCUCACCCAAAGCUCAGGUGUGCCCAGCUGGGACACAGGAUCAGUACAGAUGUAACCGGGAAGACGAGGUCACACUGGAGAGCAGUGGCCCUUCAUCUAGCAUGACAGUCCUCAUAAGAGAAUGCACAGACACUAGGCCACGUGGGGACAUAGAAGGCCAGGUGACAAUGAAGACAGGUCCUGGAGCCAUGCAGUCACACACCGAGGAAGCCGAGGUCUGCCGGCAGCAGGAGAGUCAGCAGGAGAGUCAGGAAGAGGCCUCCCGGGGGCCCUCUGAGGGAGUGGGCCCUGCCCGACCUGGACCUUGACCUCAGAGCCUGGCCUCCAGACGGAGAGCAGGUUCCCUCUGUUCCCAGCCGCCCAGUGUGGGGUCCCUGCUAUGGCAGCCACAGGACACUGGGCCCGUGCUGGGUCCAGACCAAUCAGCCACCUACCGCAGUACCGGACCACCCCAGCUGGAACCAGAGGACGGGUCACCAGAACACAGGGGAGGAGUGGACAGCCGGAACCUGGGCCGAGGCCGCAGGCCAGGAGGCAGAGCGAGCAAGGACAGGAGGACGCACCCACUGGGCUCCCUGCCUGGUCACGACUGGACAGGACCAAACAUCUGGGACAGCUGAUCAGGAACCGGGCGCCUUGAAGACGGACCAGAGACCCUGGAGCUCUUUCUUCCCUCUCUGUCUGUCUCAACACCCCCACCUCCCCAGGUCCCUCCUGCCACCGUCGGGGUCUCAGAGGGCGAAACCCCCUGAAUGAUCAGAAACCACACUGAGGCUGCUUCCUUGGCUUUAGGACGGGCCUUUGGCUCUGGAGGCCCCAGGGCUGCUCCUGCUUCUCCUGCCCACCCCGUCCCCCUGCCAAGAGGCAGGAAGUGAAGAGCCACCGGGAAGUCAGAGCAGAUCGUCCCCAAGUCCCCACUAAACCCCCAUUUCCCAACUUGCUUCCCCAGGAGUUUGAUUCUGGGCUAUGUCCACUCACAGGUCACCAGCCUCGCUAAAAGGGUGGGCAGCGACUGGUAAGCAGGCGUGGGCCCGUGAACUCAGGUUUCUACUCAGAGCGUCCUGUUUUAGGGAAAAGCCGCCAUGGCCCGGGGCAGCAGUUCCAGAAGCACUGGCCGUCCAGGAAACCUAGGAAGAAGGACACGAUUCAGUGACGGGCAUUAAAAUAUAAAGCCACGAUGCAUUUUUAAACAUUCCUCACUUGUUUUCCAAAAAUCCCACAACCCCUCCCAGACAGCACGCGAGAACCUGCGGAAACGUGACUGUACUGUCCCUCUCACCUCCACCCGGGCUGGCCGCUCCCGGGCCCCCCCAUGGAGGUGGCUUGCUCCGGCCCAGGGGCGAACGUCCAUGGGGCGUGGCCAGGGGACAGCGGCCUGGGAGCUGCCGGCCCGCGUGGUAUUUUUCCUGCAUUAUUUAACACAGCCCUUUCAGCGUGUGCUGGAGCCGUGACGUUGCCAGCGAGGGACCAUGACCCAAGGAAUAUUUGCAAAAAGCUGAGUUAGGGAAGUGCCCAGUCCCGUGGAGGUUGGCGUCCCCAGUCACCGCAGCCCGGUGUCCACACUGUAAAAGGCAACACUUCCGAGUGGCUCCAGCCCAUGAUGAUGUGGUUCCCAGAGAGGGGCCAGGGCCUCGGCAGUGGAGAGGAGAGUCCUCGGGCCCCACCCCAGACCAACGUCCUGUGCAAAAGGAGGUUCUCAAAUGGGUUCUGGAGCGGGACCCCAUCCUGGCUCACAGCUGACCACUUCUGAUGUGGCCUCCUUCAGCAUCCUCUCUCCAUCCUGAGAGAGCCACUCGGGGCCCCCUGCCCCCCAUGCCACAAUCUCCUCUUUGCUUCAGGUUUUGGGUAUCAGAAAA
Long non-coding RNA from Marmota monax (woodchuck), 1920 nucleotides. RefSeq lists it as uncharacterized. The record is from RefSeq and is a predicted model, not a curated record. NCBI's taxonomy places the organism in Eukaryota, Metazoa, Chordata, Mammalia, Rodentia, Sciuridae. The transcript has 3 exons.